CGGCCCCUCCCACGCGGACAGAGGUCAGCCUGAGCCCCUUGCCUCACACCGGCCCCUCCCACGCUGAGAGAGGUCAGUGUGAGCCCCUGCCUCAACAGGCCACCGUGAGGGAGGAGCAGGGUCGCACGCGGGCUGCUGGGAGGUAGGCAGGGACUUGGGCCUGGGAGGUCGCGGUGGGGCGAGAGCUGGGCCUGGAGACUCCCCUGGGAGGCAACAGCGGGGUCUGCAGACACCCUUCUCCAGCUGGAGCUGGGACUGUUCAGUCACUGGGAGAAGGGAUGUGGGUCUGAAGAGCUUGGUUGCAGAAACUUCGGGGUCUACAAAGGCCGGCGGGAGCUGAGCCAAAAGAGCUUGUUUGCUGGGAGGCGGGAGAUGCAGCCAGGAGGAACAGCUGGGCCAUGCGGGAGGCAGAGGCCGGGCCUCCUCAAGUCGGCCUCUCAGACCCACUUGCAGCCUCCCAGCGUCCUCUCCGGGCCCAGCUCUUCCUCCCGGCUGCGUCUCCAGGCCGGACUCUGGCCCGACUCCAGGUCCCAACAACGUCUUUGGACUCAGCUCCUGCCCAGCUCCCAGAGGCCCUGGUAGGCCCACAACUUCCCUAAGCCAAGCUCCCCAGGCCCAGCUCAGGCCUCACGGUGGCCUCUCCAGGCUCAGCUCCUGCCCUCCGAUGGCAUCUGCAGGCCCCAAACGGCCUCCGGUUGGUGGGCUUCUCUAGGCCCAGCUUGGGCCUCCCGGUGGCCUCUGCAGGCCCAAAUCGUCCCGAAGUCGGCCUCUCCAGGCCCAGCUCCGGCCUCCCAGCGGCCUCUGCAGGCCCAAGUCGUCCUCAAGUCGGCCUGGAAGUGGGCCUGGAAGAGCAGCAAGUCGGCCUCCCCGGGCCCAGCUCCGUCCUCUCGGCGGCCUCUCCAGGUGCAAAACUUCCUCGAGUCAGCCUCUCCAGGCCCAGCUCUUCCUGCCUCCCAGUGGCCUCUUUCGGCCCAGCCCAGUUCAUGGCUCUCGGCGGCCUUCCCAGGCCCCGCUUUUGACUUUUGGCAGCCUCUUCAGGCGCAGAACUUGAUCUCCAGUCGGCCUUUGCAGGCCCGGCCUCCUGCCUCUCAAAGGCCUGCACGGGCCUGGCCUUGGCCUUGGCCUCACAGUGGACUCUCCACGCCCAGCUAGCUCUCGCCUCACUGCGGCCUCCCCCGUCCAAAGCUCCUGCCUUUCGGCCACUUCGGCAGGUCCAGCUACUGCCUGCCAGUGGCCUCUUUAGGCCAAGCUCAUUCCUCACAACGGCCUUUCCAGGCCCCGUUUUUCCCUUCCGGCAGCCUCUUGGCCUCUAAUUUGUUUAUCUUUUGUGUAUAAAUCCCAAAAUAUGGAAUUUUGGAAUAUUUCCACCAUUAUAUAUUUUGGUAGGUAAUUUAUUUGGAGUGAGUUUCUGCACCAUGCCCGAACUUUUUGUUUUAUUUUCCUUAUUAUUUGGUGUUAAACAGGUUUAAUGACGGUCAUGGCAACUUUUUGGCACAAUGAAAAAUAUCGCCCAUGAUCAACGUGUUCUGUUCUGGGGAAGGGGGCAAAGGCAGGGUGAAUCACUUUCUUAAAAAGUAUAGCUCAAGUUGGGAGUGCAGAGGGAAUGGGGAGAAAACCCUUCCGCUGCCUGUGUCGAAGUGCAGGAGCCCCCACCCCCAUACUCACCUGAGUCCAGCCCCUCUGGGGAAAGAAGGGGUGCAUGAACUCCCCUUAGUCCACAGGCGCCUCCCUGUGGCCCAAGGCCCUCUUCACACUCCAUCUUGUAGCCCCAGCAGGAGCUAUUUUCCGAAAAGUGAAAAGCUCUGAAGGUCCCACAAUUCAUGGUAUGUACAGGGGCUCGGAGGAGGGAAACUGCCCAGCUUUCCCCCGGCACAGCUGCAGGGGUAGGGGGUAUAGAUAAGAGGAGCAGGCCUUGGCCAGGCGUGGUGGCUCACGCCUGUAAUCCCAG
Molecule: long non-coding RNA, 1948 nt
Filed under: Homo sapiens (human)
Lineage: Eukaryota; Metazoa; Chordata; Mammalia; Primates; Hominidae
Description: non-protein coding LINC01000:13
Source: RNAcentral